GCAUCCUUCGGGGUGAGUGGCAGACGGGUGAGUAACGCGUGGGAACGUGCCCUUCAGUUCGGAAUAACCCAGGGAAACUUGGGCUAAUACCGGAUACGUGCGAGAGCAGAAAGAUUUAUCGCUGAAGGAUCGGCCCGCGUCUGAUUAGCUAGUUGGUGGGGUAAUGGCCCACCAAGGCGACGAUCAGUAGCUGGUCUGAGAGGAUGAUCAGCCACAUUGGGACUGAGACACGGCCCAAACUCCUACGGGAGGCAGCAGUGGGGAAUAUUGGACAAUGGGCGCAAGCCUGAUCCAGCCAUGCCGCGUGAGUGAUGAAGGCCUUAGGGUUGUAAAGCUCUUUCAGCGGGGACGAUAAUGACGGUACCCGCAGAAGAAGCCCCGGCUAACUUCGUGCCAGCAGCCGCGGUAAUACGAAGGGGGCUAGCGUUGUUCGGAAUCACUGGGCGUAAAGGGCGCGUAGGCGGCUUUGUAAGUCGGGGGUGAAAGCCUGUGGCUCAACCACAGAAUUGCCUUCGAUACUGCAUGGCUUGAGACCGGAAGAGGUUAGUGGAACUGCGAGUGUAGAGGUGAAAUUCGUAGAUAUUCGCAAGAACACCAGUGGCGAAGGCGGCUGACUGGUCCGGUUCUGACGCUGAGGCGCGAAAGCGUGGGGAGCAAACAGGAUUAGAUACCCUGGUAGUCCACGCCGUAAACGAUGAAUGCCAGCCGUUGGCGAGCUUGCUCGUCAGUGGCGCAGCUAACGCUUUA
RNAcentral lists this ribosomal RNA (747 nucleotides) under Microvirga sp. RNAcentral describes it as "bacterial SSU rRNA". It matches the Rfam family "Bacterial small subunit ribosomal RNA", at positions 79 to 862 of the family's 1533-position model. Lineage: Bacteria; Pseudomonadati; Pseudomonadota; Alphaproteobacteria; Hyphomicrobiales; Methylobacteriaceae. The record is from RNAcentral.